GGAUGAACGCUGGCGGCGUGCCUAAUACAUGCAAGUCGAGCGAACGGACGAGAAGCUUGCUUCUCUGAUGUUAGCGGCGGACGGGUGAGUAACACGUGGAUAACCUACCUAUAAGACUGGGAUAACUUCGGGAAACCGGAGCUAAUACCGGAUGGUAUUUUGAACCGCAUGGUUCAAAAGUGAAAGACGGUCUUGCUGUCACUUAUAGAUGGAUCCGCGCUGCAUUAGCUAGUUGGUAAGGUAACGGCUUACCAAGGCAACGAUGCAUAGCCGACCUGAGAGGGUGAUCGGCCACACUGGAACUGAGACACGGUCCAGACUCCUACGGGAGGCAGCAGUAGGGAAUCUUCCGCAAUGGGCGAAAGCCUGACGGAGCAACGCCGCGUGAGUGAUGAAGGUCUUCGGAUCGUAAAACUCUGUUAUUAGGGAAGAACAUAUGUGUAAGUAACUGUGCACAUCUUGACGGUACCUAAUCAGAAAGCCACGGCUAACUACGUG
Molecule: ribosomal RNA, 498 nt
Filed under: uncultured bacterium
Lineage: Bacteria
Description: partial 16S ribosomal RNA
Rfam family: Bacterial small subunit ribosomal RNA
Source: RNAcentral